CAGGUCUUGACAUCCUCUGACACACCUAGAGAUAGGACGUUCCCCUUCGGGGGACAGAGUGACAGGUGGUGCAUGGUUGUCGUCAGCUCGUGUCGUGAGAUGUUGGGUUAAGUCCCGCAACGAGCGCAACCCUUGAUCUUAGUUGCCAGCAUUCAGUUGGGCACUCUAAGGUGACUGCCGGUGACAAACCGGAGGAAGGUGGGGAUGACGUCAAAUCAUCAUGCCCCUUAUGACCUGGGCUACACACGUGCUACAAUGGAUGGUACAAAGGGCUGCAAAACCGCGAGGUCGAGCCAAUCCCAUAAAACCAUUCUCAGUUCGGAUUGUAGGCUGCAACUCGCCUACAUGAAGCUGGAAUCGCUAGUAAUCGUGGAUCAGCAUGCCACGGUGAAUACGUUCCC
This 401-nucleotide ribosomal RNA is filed under the name uncultured soil bacterium. Its description in RNAcentral is "bacterial SSU rRNA". It matches the Rfam family "Bacterial small subunit ribosomal RNA", at positions 975 to 1375 of the family's 1533-position model. The record is from RNAcentral.